UGGAAAAGAGGAAUAAAAGAGUUGCUAAUCCGCCAUGGCAAUUCUCAAGAGAAACACAAGGGUUGUAUGCUUGGUGGUGCUUGUGGUCAUGGCCACGACCUUAUUGCCCUUCUCAACUACACAUGGGGCGUGCUUAGUGGCACCGGAAUGCUCGGGUCCCUACCCGAAUGUAAUAUGUGGUGAGUUAUGCGCUCGUUAUGGUUACAGCAAAAAUGGAUACUGCAAAGAUUCAAGAAAUUGUUGUUGUAGUGGCAAAAAAUUAAAAGAGUCGGUCCAGGUGGAUCCUACAACAAAUCCAUAGGAGAGAAACUCUAGAAGCUGCUGCGCCACAAUAUGUAAUUGUGAGAUGAUUAAAUUUGAAAUGAAAUAAGUUUUUAUCCA
This is a long non-coding RNA of Triticum dicoccoides, 381 nucleotides long. RefSeq lists it as uncharacterized. NCBI's taxonomy places the organism in Eukaryota, Viridiplantae, Streptophyta, Magnoliopsida, Poales, Poaceae. The transcript is spliced from 2 exons. The record is from RefSeq and is a predicted model, not a curated record.